Molecule: ribosomal RNA, 208 nt
Filed under: uncultured bacterium
Lineage: Bacteria
Description: partial 16S ribosomal RNA
Rfam family: Bacterial small subunit ribosomal RNA
Source: RNAcentral
CACGUAGGCGGAUAUUUAAGUCAGGGGUGAAAUCCCAGAGCUCAACUCUGGAACUGCAUUCGAUACUGGGAAGCUAGAGUAUGGGAGAGGAUGGUAGAAUUCCAGGUGUAGCGGUGAAAUGCGUAGAGAUCUGGAGGAAUACCGAUGGCGAAGGCAGCCAUCUGGCCUAAUACUGACGCUGAGGUACGAAAGCAGUGGGGAGCAAACA